RNAcentral lists this ribosomal RNA (253 nucleotides) under uncultured bacterium. RNAcentral's name for it is "partial 16S ribosomal RNA". It matches the Rfam family "Bacterial small subunit ribosomal RNA", at positions 524 to 776 of the family's 1533-position model. The record is from RNAcentral.
UACGGAGGAUCCAAGCGUUAUCCGGAUUUAUUGGGUUUAAAGGGUGCGUAGGCGGCCUAUUGAGUCAGGGGUGAAAGACGGUAGCUUAACUAUCGCAGUGCCUUUGAUACUGAUGGGCUUGAAUGAACUAGAGGUAGGCGGAAUGUGACAAGUAGCGGUGAAAUGCAUAGAUAUGUCACAGAACACCAAUUGCGAAGGCAGCUUACUAUGGUUUUAUUGACGCUGAGGCACGAAAGCGUGGGGAUCAAACAGG